AGAUUGAACGCUGGCGGCUUGCCUAACACAUGCAAGUCGAACGGGAGUAGCAAUACUCUAGUGGCGGACGGGUGAGGAAUACGUAGGAAUUUGCCCUUAAGUGGGGGAUAACCCGGGGAAACCCGGAUUAAUACCGCAUGACCUCGAAAGAGCAAAGUGGGGGAUCGCAAGACCUCACGCUUUUGGAGAAGCCUACGUCGGAUUAGCUAGUUGGUGAGGUAAUGGCUCACCAAGGCGACGAUCCGUAACUGGUCUGAGAGGAUGAUCAGUCACACCGGAACUGAGACACGGUCCGGACUCCUACGGGAGGCAGCAGUGGGGAAUAUUGGACAAUGGGCGCAAGCCUGACUCCAGCAAUGCCGCGUGUGUGAAGAAGGCC
Molecule: ribosomal RNA, 379 nt
Filed under: uncultured soil bacterium
Lineage: Bacteria
Description: bacterial SSU rRNA
Rfam family: Bacterial small subunit ribosomal RNA
Source: RNAcentral